CGGCGUGCUUAACACAUGCAAGUCGAACGGAGCACCCUUGAAUGAGACUUCGGUAACAGGAAGAAGCUUGCUUCUUUGCUGACGAGUGGCGGACGGGUGAGUAAUGUCUGGGAAACUGCCUGAUGGAGGGGGAUAACUACUGGAAACGGUAGCUAAUACCGCAUAACGUCGCAAGACCAAAGGAGGGGGACCUUCGGGCCUCUUGCCAUCGGAUGUGCCCAGAUGGGAUUAGCUAGUAGGUGGGGUAACGGCUCACCUAGGCGACGAUCCCUAGCUGGUCUGAGAGGAUGACCAGCCACACUGGAACUGAGACACGGUCCAGACUCCUACGGGAGGCAGCAGUGGGGAAUAUUGCACAAUGGGCGCAAGCCUGAUGCAGCCAUGCCGCGUGUAUGAAGAAGGCCUUCGGGUUGUAAAGUACUUUCAGGCGGGGAGGAAGGGAGUAAAGUUAAUACCUUUGCUCAUUGACGUUACCCGCAGAAGAAGCACCGGCUAACUCCGUG
This 503-nucleotide ribosomal RNA is filed under the name uncultured bacterium. Its description in RNAcentral is "bacterial SSU rRNA". It matches the Rfam family "Bacterial small subunit ribosomal RNA", at positions 40 to 507 of the family's 1533-position model. The record is from RNAcentral.